AAUUGGAGGGGGGGCAAAAGGGAGAUCGUGCUGGGAUGGGGGCGAGCCUGCACGCGUCGUGCUUCUCGCGGCGCAGGAGCCCGAAGACGAGGGCGAGGUCGUCGGAGAGUGCGAGGCUGCCAUGGCCGGCGUCCUUGCGAGGAAAUAUCAACAGGAACAUUCUUUGCAGAUGGAGAUGGAAUUGUGUACAUGCAGGUGAUAAUUGGGGAUGCAUUUUUAUGUCGGAAUGGAAGAAUUGAGUAGUUGUUUGCAACCUUCAGUACAAUCUACUGGUAAUUUGUUUCAUUACAGAUGAUGCAGUUUUGGGACUGAUGAUGAAUGAUAAGUUAGCUAGCUAGCAAACAUUAGAAGCUAAUUUUAAAGUUGCUGAACUUCCGUAGUAACUAAACUCUGAAAUACACUAUCUAAAGUAUGUGACACUGCCUGAUAAAAUGUUAAGGAAGUGUAAGCAUUUCUUGAUACAAAUGCUCUCUCUUAUUUGCUGAUGAUCUAAUCUAAUAUUUAUUUUGCUCCAUAUAAUUCAUGCUCAUGUUAGUGAAGGUAUAAAUUGCGAGCACUUUCACCAUUAGGCAUUAAGUGCUUUAGCCUGUGUUGCUUUACUUUUCCUGUGAAUAUUAUCCACACCUGAUUAUUUAAAUCAUACCCUUUUUGAUAAGCAUGGAUGUAGUCUAUAAAUUCUAUAAGAUAAAGCUUAAGUUCAGUUUUGUUCUGAUAGUACAGAUUAGAUAAAGAUGGCAUCGAUUCUUAUCUCUGUCUAUCGUUUUUUCUUUCCUGUCUAGUAUCCAUCUUCAAUGUCUUUUAGCAAGGAGGAACGAAGAAAAGAAACAUAUUGUAUAUUUUACCUUUUAUUUUUGCUUAUCUUGGUUCUACCAUCAAUGCUUGCACUAUUUUGUCUUUACCAAUGGAAAAGCGAAGCACUGCACAUGUGUAAGUUAAAGGAACUCUUUUGGCUUACUUCUGCAAUUUCUUAAGUCUUAACAUGAUAUAAUGGCUUGAUAUUGUUGAGUUGCCAGUUUUGUAAUAGUAGUUUGAGUCAUAUAUAAGUAUGCAUUCAUUUUUGGAAAAAAAAAUAUGGAAAGAUGAGAGGGUGAGAAGUGAGAUAGGACGUGGGAUUUCUCUUUUGAUGAAGAAUCUAGCAAAGUGAAGCUGACAAGCAUAGCACAGAUCAACGGUGCUUUUCCUCUUUGCUUUGACAAAUACCAAAUAAGGCUAACACCGAUGGUAGCUUCAAAACAAGAAGAUCAUGUAAAUUCAUCCUUGUUAUCAACAAAUUGCAUGCAUUAUCACUGAGAAAAUAUCUGAUGCUGUCUGCCGAAUUGCCAAUAUUGUCAAUUUGGGGAAUUACCCUAUAAUACAUAAAAGACUUUGAUAUGUAAUACUUGCUGCUGAUGCUAAGGUUCUGAGUUGAAAACUGCAACAAGCAAAUAAAAUACAUUUUACUUCCAUUUUUUUUCUGCAUGGGUUACUUUGUCUCAUUUUGCUGUGUGGAUACUAAAGUAUAUCUCUUGCUUGUAACUUAAGAUUGGUUAUAUAGACUAGGACUCCAAAGCAUAAAGUGAUGAGUUAAGAUAACAUUAAUAAGAGAGCUUGGUACAGUCAUAUCACGUACACAUAGAUGUCCACAGCUGCAUCACUGAGGAAGUGUUAGUGCAAUGGUUAGACCAAGAAGUGCUUGAGGCAAAAUGUGCAAACAAUUUUGUGUAUAUCAGGAAUCGAGUAUUCCCAACCUUUGGCACAUACAUGCUCUUGAUAUUUUACAUGAAACUCAUAUGAUAGCUUCUUUUUUACAGAAGAAUAAGUUGAAA
Molecule: long non-coding RNA, 1805 nt
Organism: Oryza sativa Japonica Group (Japanese rice)
Lineage: Eukaryota; Viridiplantae; Streptophyta; Magnoliopsida; Poales; Poaceae
Source: RefSeq, a predicted model, not a curated record